RNAcentral lists this ribosomal RNA (492 nucleotides) under uncultured bacterium. Its description in RNAcentral is "partial 16S ribosomal RNA". It matches the Rfam family "Bacterial small subunit ribosomal RNA", at positions 29 to 507 of the family's 1533-position model. The record is from RNAcentral.
AGUGAACGCUGGCGGUAGGCCUAACACAUGCAAGUCGAACGGCAGCACAGUAAGAGCUUGCUCUUACGGGUGGCGAGUGGCGGACGGGUGAGGAAUACAUCGGAAUCUACUUUUUCGUGGGGGAUAACGUAGGGAAACUUACGCUAAUACCGCAUACGACCUACGGGUGAAAGCAGGGGAUCUUCGGACCUUGCGCGAUUGAAUGAGCCGAUGUCGGAUUAGCUAGUUGUCGGGGUAAAGGCCCACCAAGGCGACGAUCCGUAGCUGGUCUGAGAGGAUGAUCAGCCACACUGGAACUGAGACACGGUCCAGACUCCUACGGGAGGCAGCAGUGGGGAAUAUUGGACAAAGGGCGCAAGCCUGAUCCAGCCAUACCGCGUAGGUGAAGAAGGCCUUCGGGUUGUAAAGCCCUUUUGUUGGGAAAGAAAAGCAGCAGGUUAAUACCCCGCUGUUCUGACGGUACCCAAAGAAUAAGCACCGGCUAACUUCGUG